This is a long non-coding RNA of Alexandromys fortis (reed vole), 339 nucleotides long. RefSeq lists it as uncharacterized. The transcript is spliced from 2 exons. The record is from RefSeq and is a predicted model, not a curated record. Lineage: Eukaryota; Metazoa; Chordata; Mammalia; Rodentia; Cricetidae.
GGAGCCAUUUCCCCACUAACAAUCAUUACAGGAACCAUCACUCUAGGGAGUCUGCAGAGAACCUCACACCCAUAGUUAUGUUCUAUUGACAAAACCUGCCCCUCACCCAAUUAACUGCUAAUCUUAGCGGAACCCGCCUCACAUUCCAGCUAUCCAGGGAACCAGGUGUGGCCACUUGUGACUUCUGGCCUGUCUGUCUGAAUGUAACCAAGCUACGUGACCGGAACCACGCGGCCUGCGAGAUCCCGUACCCUGCCCCUCAUCCCUUACCAUAUAUAAACUGUAACCCGUCCCUAAUAAACAGAGGCCUUGACAAAGUUGCUUGGUCUCGUUCCUCUG